UGGGGAAUCUUGCACAAUGGAGGCAACUCUGAUGCAGCGACGCCGCGUGAGCGAUGAAGCCCCUCGGGGUGUAAAGCUCUUUCGGCAGGGACGAUAAUGACGGUACCUGAAGAAGAAGCUGCGGCUAACUACGUGCCAGCAGCCGCGGUAAUACGUAGGCAGCGAGCGUUGUUCGGAAUUACUGGGCGUAAAGAGUGUGUAGGCGGUGCUCUAAGUUCGGUGUGAAAUCUCUCGGCUUAACUGGGAGGGUGCGCCGGAAACUGGAGUGCUCGAACGUGGGAGAGGAAAGCGGAAUUCCUGGUGUAGCGGUGAAAUGCGUAGAUAUCAGGAGGAACACCUGCGGUGUAGACGGCUUUCUGGACCAUUGUUGACGCUGAGACACGAAAGCGUGGGUAGCAAACA
RNAcentral lists this ribosomal RNA (402 nucleotides) under uncultured Solibacteraceae bacterium. RNAcentral describes it as "partial 16S ribosomal RNA". It matches the Rfam family "Bacterial small subunit ribosomal RNA", at positions 355 to 774 of the family's 1533-position model. Lineage: Bacteria; Pseudomonadati; Acidobacteriota; Terriglobia; Bryobacterales; Solibacteraceae. RNAcentral also lists the same sequence under 1 other name. The record is from RNAcentral.